RNAcentral lists this ribosomal RNA (497 nucleotides) under uncultured bacterium. RNAcentral describes it as "partial 16S ribosomal RNA". It matches the Rfam family "Bacterial small subunit ribosomal RNA", at positions 28 to 507 of the family's 1533-position model. The record is from RNAcentral.
GACGAACGCUGGCGGCGUGCCUAAUACAUGCAAGUUGAGCGCUGAAGGUUGGUACUUGUACCAACUGGAUGAGCAGCGAACGGGUGAGUAACGCGUGGGGAAUCUGCCUUUGAGCGGGGGACAACAUUUGGAAACGAAUGCUAAUACCGCAUAAAAACUUUAAACACAAGUUUUAAGUUUGAAAGAUGCAAUUGCAUCACUCAAAGAUGAUCCCGCGUUGUAUUAGCUAGUUGGUGAGGUAAAGGCUCACCAAGGCGAUGAUACAUAGCCGACCUGAGAGGGUGAUCGGCCACAGUGGGACUGAGACACGGCCCAAACUCCUACGGGAGGCAGCAGUAGGGAAUCUUCGGCAAUGGACGAAAGUCUGACCGAGCAACGCCGCGUGAGUGAAGAAGGUUGUCGGAUCGUAAAACUCUGUUGGUAGAGAAGAACGUUGGUGAGAGUGGAAAGCUCAUCAAGUGACGGUAACUACCCAGAAAGGGACGGCUAACCACGUG